Molecule: ribosomal RNA, 110 nt
Filed under: Polaribacter sp. BAL334
Lineage: Bacteria; Pseudomonadati; Bacteroidota; Flavobacteriia; Flavobacteriales; Flavobacteriaceae
Source: RNAcentral
UAGGGUGGUUAUAGCAUUGGGGCUCACCUCUUCCCAUCCCGAACAGAGAAGUUAAGCCCAAUUGCGCCGAUGGUACUGCAUUUAUGUGGGAGAGUAGGUCGCUGCCUUUC